AAGGCAGCAGCAGACGGAGUUAGAGAAACUCCGUUUGAAUGAGAAUUUGUUCCAUCAUGACGUCCUGCAAAGUGUAGAAGAGGACAUUGUACAGUCUCUCUGAGAAGUCCAUCUUGUCUCAUCUCUUGAAACAGAAGCUGCAGCUCUUGAAGAGGAUGAAGAUGAGGAGCAAAUCUAUAAUAAGGAGGAAGGCCAGGACGUCCAGGCUGUGGUACUGGUACCAGGGAUUCCUUCUUUCGUUCUCGGCGUUUAUGACGUCAUCCCUCCAGCAUCGCCGUCCACACAACGACCAACUGGACAGCGUUUGACUUCGGAGCGAACUCUGACCUCAGGGGUUACAAGUUAA
This is a non-coding RNA of Poecilia reticulata (guppy), 346 nucleotides long. The record is from RefSeq and is a predicted model, not a curated record. NCBI's taxonomy places the organism in Eukaryota, Metazoa, Chordata, Actinopteri, Cyprinodontiformes, Poeciliidae.